Long non-coding RNA from Prunus mume (Japanese apricot), 449 nucleotides. RefSeq lists it as uncharacterized. Lineage: Eukaryota; Viridiplantae; Streptophyta; Magnoliopsida; Rosales; Rosaceae. The record is from RefSeq and is a predicted model, not a curated record.
GCAGUUGAGUUGAGGCUAUCAAGUUAAGAUAAACGUACGUACGUUAAGUUUCAUAUCUUUGUGAAAGAGUUUCUUAGAGAACUACACAUGGCAUCAUUGAAGGCUGAAAAGCAAGUUGGCACUCAACUAUUUGGGCAGGCCAAGAAAGAACCUGUCAUUUCCAAGGCCAGUGAUGGUGGAGCCAAAGCUCCAGCAUCGAAGGCAGCCCCAAAGAAGGCUGCAUCAAAGCCUCAGGCACCCAAGAAGAAGGGUAAAGGUGGCAAAGCUGCAGCCAAGAACUGACCGAAGUGCUGAUUAGCGCUUAUAAGAAAGAAACGAUUUCAUUCCGUAUUGUCUCCUAAUAUUGUGUUUUUGGAUUUUGUAAUCAAUGAGUGCAAGCAUGGCAACUUUGAUCUCAUCCAUGUAAAGCCACGCCCUAAUGAAAUAAAAAUGUCUUUAGCUACGGUCCU